AGAGUUUGAUCCUGGCUCAGAAUCAACGCUGGCGGCGCGCUUAACACAUGCAAGUCGCACGAGAAAGUGGAGCAAUCCAUGAGUAAAGUGGCGUACGGGUGAGUAACACGUGGAUCAUCUACCUCUUAGUGGGGAAUAACCCUGGGAAACCGGGGCUAAUACCGCAUAAGCCUGAGAAGGGAAAGCAGCAAUGCGCUGAGAGAGGAGUCCGCGGCCGAUUAGCUAGUUGGUAGGGUAAUGGCCUACCAAGGCAAUGAUCGGUAGCCGGCCUGAGAGGGCACACGGCCACACUGGCACUGAAACACGGGCCAGACUCCUACGGGAGGCAGCAGUGGGGAAUCUUGCACAAUGGAGGAAACUCUGAUGCAGCGACGCCGCGUGAGCGAUGAAGCCCUUCGGGGUGUAAAGCUCUUUCGACGGGAACGAUAAUGACGGUACCCGGAGAAGAAGCUGCGGCUAACUACGUGCCAGCAGCCGCGGUAAUACGUAGGCAGCAAGCGUUGUUCGGAAUUACUGGGCGUAAAGAGUGUGUAGGCGGUUCUCUAUGUUCGGUGUGAAAUCUCCCGGCUUAACUGGGAGGGUGCGCCGAAAACUGGAGGGCUUGAGUAUGGGAGAGGAAAGCGGAAUUCCUGGUGUAGCGGUGAAAUGCGUAGAUAUCAGGAGGAACACCUGCGGUGUAGACGGCUUUCUGGACCAUCACUGACGCUGAGACACGAAAGCGUGGGUAGCAAACAGGAUUAGAUACCCUGGUAGUCCACGCCCUAAACGAUGCAUACUUGGUGUGAGCCGUUCAUUCGGUUCGUGCCGGAGCUAACGCGUUAAGUAUGCCGCCUGGGGAGUACGGUCGCA
This 849-nucleotide ribosomal RNA is filed under the name uncultured bacterium. RNAcentral describes it as "bacterial SSU rRNA". It matches the Rfam family "Bacterial small subunit ribosomal RNA", at positions 8 to 890 of the family's 1533-position model. The record is from RNAcentral.